AAUGCAAAAUAGGGGAGCUGGACAAGAUUCGGCUGAGAGGAAGUAUGCUUCGACCCGACCUGAUGCGGAUAAUGCCGCCGUAGGGAUUUUUUGCUUUUCUCAU
This 103-nucleotide non-coding RNA is filed under the name Ruminococcus sp. Its description in RNAcentral is "TPP sequence". It matches the Rfam family "TPP riboswitch aptamer (THI element)". From Rfam's summary of the family: Vitamin B(1) in its active form thiamin pyrophosphate (TPP) is an essential coenzyme that is synthesised by coupling of pyrimidine and thiazole moieties in bacteria. The previously detected thiamin-regulatory element, thi box was extended, resulting in a new, highly conserved RNA secondary structure, the THI element, which is widely distributed in eubacteria and also occurs in some archaea. Analysis of operon structures identified a large number of new candidate thiamin-regulated genes, mostly transporters, in various prokaryotic organisms. RNAcentral also lists the same sequence under 1 other name. The record is from RNAcentral. Lineage: Bacteria; Bacillati; Bacillota; Clostridia; Eubacteriales; Oscillospiraceae.